GCUUCGUCAUCAUCAUGGCGCUGUUCUCCUUCUCUAACGGAUACUUGGCGUCCCUCUGCAUGGCCUACGCUCCACAGUUGGUGCGGUGCAGAGACUGCGAGACAGCUGGCUCCCUGAUGACCUUCUUCCUGGUUCUGGGUCUGGCACUGGGAGCUGGAUCCUCCUUCUUUCUGGGGAUGCUGGUCUAAAAAAAAAAAAAAACUCUGGUGCUGAAGAUGAAGAAAAUAAAACGUGAUAACGGGGAGUCAACGUGUGACAUCACAGCCACAGAGCUCUCCCAUUGGCUCUUUACGGGUUUACACAUUUACAGAGACAGCGCACUGAAAUCUUUAAACUAAUGGUGCGUUCCAUUUCAUCUCGGAGGUCUGACACGAUAUCAGGAACAAGAAAACUCUCAAACCUCUGUUAGCUCGAGUUAAAAUCCAACAUGGCUGCUCAGUGUUUAAUCUGUAACGGUACGUUUACUUUCUCUUUUACUCGAAUUAAAUCGACCACACCGUGGUGACAGUUACAUCUGUACGUGUGAUGUCAUCGUCUGGUGUUAGCUUACAAACUAAAGGAACUCCUGGAGGCAUUACCUUCCUCAUCCCCGCUCAGAGGCCUGAUUUCCGAGGUGAAUUGAACGCACCAUUUGCGUCGUAUUCUGUUUUUGUUUAUCGCUGACCUGUGUUUACGUUUGUAUUUAUAUAUUUUUUUAAACUUGUUUUUAUUCAGGGAUUUUGAACAAGCAUCUUUUAUUUGUAAUGAAUGUGUUUCUUAUUAAAAAGUUUUACGAUG
Molecule: non-coding RNA, 777 nt
Organism: Labrus bergylta (ballan wrasse)
Lineage: Eukaryota; Metazoa; Chordata; Actinopteri; Labriformes; Labridae
Source: RefSeq, a predicted model, not a curated record